RNAcentral lists this small nuclear RNA (57 nucleotides) under Salmo salar (Atlantic salmon). RNAcentral describes it as "U7 small nuclear RNA (ENSSSAG00000081186.2, ENSSSAG00020083231.1, ENSSSAG00075030395.1)". It matches the Rfam family "U7 small nuclear RNA". From Rfam's summary of the family: Animal histone pre-mRNAs are spliced by a different mechanism than nuclear pre-mRNAs and self-splicing introns. Lineage: Eukaryota; Metazoa; Chordata; Actinopteri; Salmoniformes; Salmonidae. The record is from Rfam by way of RNAcentral.
AAAAGUUUGCUGUUUUAGUAUUUGUCCAGUAGGUUUCCUCAAAGAGAAAGAACCCAC